AAAUUCUUGACAUUGGUCAUAACCAGCUGAUGAGUGAAACUGGCUCUGGAUUUUUUGCUACAGAGUACACUAAAUUUCGAUUGACAUUUUUAGAUUCGCACUAUAGAUUAACAAAUUACUGGAAAAUCAUGAAGCCAUUGCAAAAAAGUUGUACAGUUUCAACUAGAAGAAAACAUCUAAUAUUUUGACAGUAGAUAAUAUAUGAGCAGAC
This 211-nucleotide long non-coding RNA is filed under the name Mytilus galloprovincialis (Mediterranean mussel). Lineage: Eukaryota; Metazoa; Mollusca; Bivalvia; Mytilida; Mytilidae. The record is from RNAcentral.